AAUCAACGCUGGCGGCGUGCCUCAGACAUGCAAGUCGAACGCGAAAGUCCCCUUCGGGGGAUGAUUAGAGUGGCGCACGGGUGAGUAACACGUAGGUAAUCUACCUUCGAGUGGGGAAUAACUCAGGGAAACUUGAGCUAAUACCGCAUAAUGCAGCGGCACCACAUGGUGACAGUUGUUAAAGCAUUUAUGCGCUUGAAGAGGAGCCUGCGGCAGAUUAGCUAGUUGGUAAGGUAAUGGCUUACCAAGGCUACGAUCUGUAACCGGCCUG
This 271-nucleotide ribosomal RNA is filed under the name uncultured bacterium. RNAcentral's name for it is "partial 16S ribosomal RNA". It matches the Rfam family "Bacterial small subunit ribosomal RNA", at positions 32 to 294 of the family's 1533-position model. The record is from RNAcentral.